This is a long non-coding RNA of Gasterosteus aculeatus aculeatus (three-spined stickleback), 833 nucleotides long. NCBI's taxonomy places the organism in Eukaryota, Metazoa, Chordata, Actinopteri, Perciformes, Gasterosteidae. The record is from Ensembl.
CGAUUUAAAUGCAAACCAAUAAUCCUUUUCUGCCGCUAAGUCUACUUUACUUUACCUUUCUCGCUGUCGUUGAGGGGCUAAUGCAUCUUACUGUUGUUUGUUUAAGCAUGAGUUAUUGAAAUGUACAUCCCCUCUGACUACAGCGUGGUGCACAAUGCAGUUGUUUAAAGCUGUAUACUCACAUGCUGUCUGUAGAGUGAGACUUCCACAAAGGCAAACCUGAGGACACCUAAAAGGAUGCUGUUUUGAAGGAAGCAUCGACCUUGUCGCCACCUUGACGGGUCACAGGCAGGAGGAGGCGGCGAGGUCCUGCAGAGCAUUAUCCAGUUCUCACUGACAUAAAUUAUGAUAAAUUAUCAGUCAAUAAUUCAACAUGUGUGUCAGAUAGAGUAUAUUUACAAGACCACCUGGCGUUGCCUGAAUAGAGGUUACACUAUAGGGAGUAAAUAAAUAAUACAGAUUUUUUUUUUACGCUGUGAUUUAAUACCAUUAAAUAUUCAGCUAUUUAGAUGAUCAAAUUUCCUGCUAAAUUACAGCUUCCCUGUUGAUAGGACUGGGAGGAGAGGUGGCCAACGGGCGCUGCGGUGGGAACCCAGCCAGAAAGGGGAACAACACAGUCGCACACACACACACAUCAGACACACGUAUGCAUGUCGGUGUGAGCUAGAAUGGCACACACACACACACACACACACACACGCGCACACCAGCAGAGGCACACAAAAGCACGUAAACACACACCGCCCCAGGUGGCAGAUGCUGGCAUACAGCGCCUUACCUGAUGAUGCUGUAUGCAUCAACGAGCACAUCCAAAAUAAUGCAAUGUUUACCCA